CGGGUUCGAUUCCCGGCCAUCGCACUCUUUU
Molecule: small RNA, 31 nt
Filed under: Bombyx mori (domestic silkworm)
Lineage: Eukaryota; Metazoa; Arthropoda; Insecta; Lepidoptera; Bombycidae
Description: ovarian small RNA-14516
Source: RNAcentral